RNAcentral lists this ribosomal RNA (433 nucleotides) under uncultured bacterium. RNAcentral describes it as "bacterial SSU rRNA". It matches the Rfam family "Bacterial small subunit ribosomal RNA", at positions 28 to 507 of the family's 1533-position model. The record is from RNAcentral.
GAUGAACGCUGGCGGCGUGCUUAACACAUGCAAGUCGAACGAACCUUCGGGUUAGUGGCGGACGGGUGAGUAACGCGUGAGAAUCUGCCCUCAGGAGGGGGAUAACGGCUGGAAACGGCCGCUAAUACCCCAUAUGCCGCGAGGUGAAAUGAAUUUCGCCUGAGGAUGAGCUCGCGUCUGAUUAGCUAGUUGGUGUAGGUAAUGGCUCACCAAGGCAUCGAUCAGUAGCUGGUCUGAGAGGAUGAUCAGCCACACUGGGACUGAGACACGGCCCAGACUCCUACGGGAGGCAGCAGUGGGGAAUUUUCCGCAAUGGGCGAAAGCCUGACGGAGCAACGCCGCGUGAGGGAUGAAGGCCUCUGGGCUGUAAACCUCUUUUAUCAAGGAAGAAGAUCUGACGGUACUUGAUGAAUAAGCCACGGCUAAUUCCGUG